Molecule: small RNA, 166 nt
Filed under: Arabidopsis thaliana (thale cress)
Lineage: Eukaryota; Viridiplantae; Streptophyta; Magnoliopsida; Brassicales; Brassicaceae
Description: ATSL159750
Source: RNAcentral
AUUACGAGUAUUGAUAACAAUCACCUAUUAAUAUAAGUUUUAACUAACCUCCAUCUGAAGACAGAAACCCGGAACCGGCCAUAUGUACUUCUCGUUGUUGGUGACUGAACCAUUAAAAUGAUUCAUCGUGUGUGAGAUGGUUUCCUAACAUGUAAUCGAAAGAAUA